Molecule: long non-coding RNA, 299 nt
Filed under: Trifolium pratense (red clover)
Lineage: Eukaryota; Viridiplantae; Streptophyta; Magnoliopsida; Fabales; Fabaceae
Description: long non-coding RNA (TPRA_LNC005529)
Source: RNAcentral
GACAUCAACGUUGUAGAUGCAUAGAUAUUCCGGUGACUUUAAUUUUAUCAUUUGGAUGCUGUGAAAAUGUUCGCAGAUUCAUCCCUUACGUUUUCAGCGAUGUUGAAUAUGUGAUUGUAUGACGUAUUCUAUCAAUUUAAAUGAAUGAAUAUUGUUUUAUUUUUGUAAAAAAAAUUGUUCUCGAUUCUCCUCUCCCUUUUCUUUCUCCCUCGCGGCUUCUCUUUCUUUCUCUCUAAGGUCCCAAGUUUUUUUUUUUCUGAUUUUUUAAACGAGGUGGCUAAUCCUAGUUUUUACUAAAC